Molecule: ribosomal RNA, 1193 nt
Filed under: Staphylococcus epidermidis
Lineage: Bacteria; Bacillati; Bacillota; Bacilli; Caryophanales; Staphylococcaceae
Description: bacterial LSU rRNA
Rfam family: Bacterial large subunit ribosomal RNA
Source: RNAcentral
CAUGAGUUAUGUCAUGUUAUCGACAUGUGAAUUCAUAGCAUGUCAGAAGGCAGACCCGGAGAACUGAAACAUCUUAGUACCCGGAGGAAGAGAAAGAAAAAUCGAUUCCCUGAGUAGCGGCGAGCGAAACGGGAAGAGCCCAAACCAACAAGCUUGCUUGUUGGGGUUGUAGGACACUCUAUACGGAGUUACAAAAGAACAUGUUAGACGAAUCAUCUGGAAAGAUGAAUCAAAGAAGGUAAUAAUCCUGUAGUCGAAAACAUAUUCUCUCUUGAGUGGAUCCUGAGUACGACGGAGCACGUGAAAUUCCGUCGGAAUCUGGGAGGACCAUCUCCUAAGGCUAAAUACUCUCUAGUGACCGAUAGUGAACCAGUACCGUGAGGGAAAGGUGAAAAGUACCCCGGAAGGGGAGUGAAAGAGAACUUGAAACCGUGUGCUUACAAGUAGUCAGAGCCCGUUAAUGGGUGAUGGCGUGCCUUUUGUAGAAUGAACCGGCGAGUUACGAUCUGAUGCAAGGUUAAGCAGCAAAUGUGGAGCCGCAGCGAAAGCGAGUCUGAAUAGGGCGUUGAGUAUUUGGUCGUAGACCCGAAACCAGGUGAUCUACCCUUGGUCAGGUUGAAGUUCAGGUAACACUGAAUGGAGGACCGAACCGACUUACGUUGAAAAGUGAGCGGAUGAACUGAGGGUAGCGGAGAAAUUCCAAUCGAACUUGGAGAUAGCUGGUUCUCUCCGAAAUAGCUUUAGGGCUAGCCUCAAGUGAUGAUUAUUGGAGGUAGAGCACUGUUUGGACGAGGGGCCCCUCUCGGGUUACCGAAUUCAGACAAACUCCGAAUGCCAAUUAAUUUAACUUGGGAGUCAGAACAUGGGUGAUAAGGUCCGUGUUCGAAAGGGAAACAGCCCAGACCACCAGCUAAGGUCCCAAAAUAUAUGUUAAGUGGAAAAGGAUGUGGCGUUGCCCAGACAACUAGGAUGUUGGCUUAGAAGCAGCCAUCAUUUAAAGAGUGCGUAAUAGCUCACUAGUCGAGUGACACUGCGCCGAAAAUGUACCGGGGCUAAACAUAUUACCGAAGCUGUGGAUUGUCCUUUGGACAAUGGUAGGAGAGCGUUCUAAGGGCGUCGAAGCAUGAUCGCAAGGACAUGUGGAGCGCUUAGAAGUGAGAAUGCCGGUGUGAGUAGCGAAAGACGGGUGAGAA